This 186-nucleotide ribosomal RNA is filed under the name uncultured Staphylococcus sp. RNAcentral describes it as "partial 16S ribosomal RNA". It matches the Rfam family "Bacterial small subunit ribosomal RNA", at positions 154 to 334 of the family's 1533-position model. The record is from RNAcentral. Lineage: Bacteria; Bacillati; Bacillota; Bacilli; Caryophanales; Staphylococcaceae.
AAACCGGAGCUAAUACCGGAUAAUAUAUUGAACCGCAUGGUUCAAAAGUGAAAGACGGUCUUGCUGUCACUUAUAGAUGGAUCCGCGCUGCAUUAGCUGGUUGGUAAGGUAACGGCUUACCAAGGCAACGAUGCAUAGCCGACCUGAGAGGGUGAUCGGCCACACUGGAACUGAGACACGGUCCAG